CAUGUUGCUGUGGCCCUGGUGUAGGCCAGCAGCUACAGCUCCAAUUAGAUCCCUAGCUUGGGAACCUCCAUAUGCCAAGGGAGGCAGCCCUAGAAAAGGCAAAAAGACAAAAAAAAAAAAAAAGAGAAAGUAUGACUGAGUCACUUUGCUGUACAGCAGAAAUUGGCACAACAUUGUAAAUCAACUAUACUUUAGUAAAAGGAAAACGAAAACUUUUUAAAAACUCCAGUUAUAUAUGGGCCAGAAAUUCUGAAUAAUGACCAUUUCAGUGGUAGUUGAAGCUGUAGAUUUGGAUAAGUUCCCAGAGAACAGAGGGCUAAGAGUGCCUUGGUGAAUUCUAACAUUUAAGUCACAAGAAAAAAACACUAAGGAGGAGUUCCUGUCGUGGCUCAGUGGUUAACAAAUCCAAUGAGGAACCAUGAGGUUGCGGAUUUGAUCCCUGGCCUCGCUCAGUGGAUUAAGGAUCCAGCAUUGCCAUGAGCUGUGAUGUAGGUUACAGACAAGGCUUGGCUCCUGCAUUGCUGUGGCUUUGGUGUAGGCGGGGGGCUGCUGCUCUGAUUCGACCCUUAGCCUGGGAACCUCCAUAUGCCGCGGGAGCGGACCAAGAAAUGGCAAAAAGACAAAAAACAAAAACAAACAAAAAAAAACCACUAAGGAGUUCCCACUGUGGUGCAAUGGGAUUAGCAGGGUGUCUGCAGCACCACGAUGCAGGUUUGAUCCUCGGCCUGGCACAGCGGGUUAAGGGAUACUCUGUGGCAUAAGUUGCAACUGUGGCUUGGAUCUGAUCCCUGGCCCAGGAACUCCAUAUGCCAUGGGGCAGCCAAAAAAUAGAGGAAAGAAAAACAAUGUGGUGUUCCCGUUGUGGCUCAUUGAGCUAAGAAUCAGACAUAGUGUCCAUGAGGAUGUGGGUUCAAUCCCUAGCUUCACUCAGUGGGUUAAGGAUCUGGCAUUGCUGCAAAGUUCCAGUGCAGGUCGAAGAUCCUGUGUUGCUAUGGCUGUGAUGUAGCCGUGCAGCUGCAGCUCCAGUUCAACCCCUAGCCUGGGAACUUCCGUAUGCCACAGGUGCAGCCAUUAAAAACAAAAAACAAGCAAAACAACAACAAUGAAAAAAACCCCAAACACCUGGAUGAUAAUUGUCAUGGAGUCAAAGGGAAGAGAGUAUUUCAAGAGGAUAGACAUUAUUAAAACUGUCAGAUGUCUCCAGAGAGGCAGCUAAGGAAAGGUUAAAAGCUCCAGACCCAGGUUUCCUGGAAACUUGGCAUAAAGGUCAAAUCCAGGUCUUGAACCAUCCCACAGGUAUCAUAUGGAAUUCAGCCCCCCGUGCCAUUCCAUCCUUACAUGUCAUGACUACCAGUCCCCGACUUUCAGUGGGUCUUGCAGUCAACACCAGCCAGUUUUGGCACCACUUAGUUUCCACACUCAAGAAUGCUAUCUUUCCCAUUCAUUGUUAUGGCCCUUAAGCUGCCAUCAAGAAAAACUUGUUUUGGAGUUCUCAUCAUGCCUGGGUCAGUGGUUAGCAAACCCGACGAGCAUCCAUGAGGACUUGGGUUCAAUCCCUGGCCUCGCUCAGUGGGUUAAGGAUCCUGCAUUGCUGUGAGCUGUGGUGUAGGUCACAGAUGUGGCUCUGACCCUCUGUUGCUGUGGCUAUGGUGUAGGCCGGCGGCUACAGCUCAUAUUGGACUCCUAGCCUGGGAUCCUCCAUA
RNAcentral lists this long non-coding RNA (1703 nucleotides) under Sus scrofa (pig). RNAcentral describes it as "lncRNA (ENSSSCG00055001611.1)". Lineage: Eukaryota; Metazoa; Chordata; Mammalia; Artiodactyla; Suidae. The record is from RNAcentral.